Molecule: ribosomal RNA, 2552 nt
Filed under: Enterobacter sp. MGH 3
Lineage: Bacteria; Pseudomonadati; Pseudomonadota; Gammaproteobacteria; Enterobacterales; Enterobacteriaceae
Description: bacterial LSU rRNA
Rfam family: Bacterial large subunit ribosomal RNA
Source: RNAcentral
UGCUGUGAACUCGAAGAGUAGGGCGGGACACGUGGUAUCCUGUCUGAAUAUGGGGGGACCAUCCUCCAAGGCUAAAUACUCCUGACUGACCGAUAGUGAACCAGUACCGUGAGGGAAAGGCGAAAAGAACCCCGGCGAGGGGAGUGAAAAAGAACCUGAAACCGUGUACGUACAAGCAGUGGGAGCCUCUUUAUGGGGUGACUGCGUACCUUUUGUAUAAUGGGUCAGCGACUUAUAUUCUGUAGCAAGGUUAACCGUAUAGGGGAGCCGAAGGGAAACCGAGUCUUAACUGGGCGUUAAGUUGCAGGGUAUAGACCCGAAACCCGGUGAUCUAGCCAUGGGCAGGUUGAAGGUUGGGUAACACUAACUGGAGGACCGAACCGACUAAUGUUGAAAAAUUAGCGGAUGACCUGUGGCUGGGGGUGAAAGGCCAAUCAAACCGGGAGAUAGCUGGUUCUCCCCGAAAGCUAUUUAGGUAGCGCCUCGUGAACUCAUCUUCGGGGGUAGAGCACUGUUUCGGCUAGGGGGCCAUCCCGGCUUACCAACCCGAUGCAAACUACGAAUACCGAAGAAUGUUAUCACGGGAGACACACGGCGGGUGCUAACGUCCGUCGUGAAGAGGGAAACAACCCAGACCGCCAGCUAAGGUCCCAAAGUCAUGGUUAAGUGGGAAACGAUGUGGGAAGGCACAGACAGCCAGGAUGUUGGCUUAGAAGCAGCCAUCAUUUAAAGAAAGCGUAAUAGCUCACUGGUCGAGUCGGCCUGCGCGGAAGAUGUAACGGGGCUAAACCAUGCACCGAAGCUGCGGCAGCGACACUAUGUGUUGUUGGGUAGGGGAGCGUUCUGUAAGCCGUUGAAGGUGUGCUGUGAGGCAUGCUGGAGGUAUCAGAAGUGCGAAUGCUGACAUAAGUAACGAUAAAGCGGGUGAAAAGCCCGCUCGCCGGAAGACCAAGGGUUCCUGUCCAACGUUAAUCGGGGCAGGGUGAGUCGACCCCUAAGGCGAGGCCGAAAGGCGUAGUCGAUGGGAAACAGGUUAAUAUUCCUGUACUUGGUGUUACUGCGAAGGGGGGACGGAGAAGGCUAUGUCAGCCGGGCGACGGUUGUCCCGGUUUAAGCAUGUAGGCGGAGGUUCCAGGUAAAUCCGGUACCUUGUUAACGCUGAGGUGUGAUGACGAGGCACUACGGUGCUGAAGUGAUAAAUGCCCUGCUUCCAGGAAAAGCCUCUAAGCAUCAGGUAACACGAAAUCGUACCCCAAACCGACACAGGUGGUCAGGUAGAGAAUACCAAGGCGCUUGAGAGAACUCGGGUGAAGGAACUAGGCAAAAUGGUGCCGUAACUUCGGGAGAAGGCACGCUGAUAUGUAGGUGAAGUCCCUGCGGACGGAGCUGAAAUCAGUCGAAGAUACCAGCUGGCUGCAACUGUUUAUUAAAAACACAGCACUGUGCAAACACGAAAGUGGACGUAUACGGUGUGACGCCUGCCCGGUGCCGGAAGGUUAAUUGAUGGGGUCAGCGGCAACGCGAAGCUCUUGAUCGAAGCCCCGGUAAACGGCGGCCGUAACUAUAACGGUCCUAAGGUAGCGAAAUUCCUUGUCGGGUAAGUUCCGACCUGCACGAAUGGCGUAAUGAUGGCCAGGCUGUCUCCACCCGAGACUCAGUGAAAUUGAACUCGCUGUGAAGAUGCAGUGUACCCGCGGCAAGACGGAAAGACCCCGUGAACCUUUACUAUAGCUUGACACUGAACACUGGUCCUUGAUGUGUAGGAUAGGUGGGAGGCUUUGAAGCGUGGACGCCAGUCUGCGUGGAGCCAUCCUUGAAAUACCACCCUUUAAUGGCUGGUGUUCUAACGUAGACCCGUGAUCCGGGUUGCGGACAGUGUCUGGUGGGUAGUUUGACUGGGGCGGUCUCCUCCCAAAGAGUAACGGAGGAGCACGAAGGUUGGCUAAUCCUGGUCGGACAUCAGGAGGUUAGUGCAAUGGCAUAAGCCAGCUUGACUGCGAGCGUGACGGCGCGAGCAGGUGCGAAAGCAGGUCAUAGUGAUCCGGUGGUUCUGAAUGGAAGGGCCAUCGCUCAACGGAUAAAAGGUACUCCGGGGAUAACAGGCUGAUACCGCCCAAGAGUUCAUAUCGACGGCGGUGUUUGGCACCUCGAUGUCGGCUCAUCACAUCCUGGGGCUGAAGUAGGUCCCAAGGGUAUGGCUGUUCGCCAUUUAAAGUGGUACGCGAGCUGGGUUUAGAACGUCGUGAGACAGUUCGGUCCCUAUCUGCCGUGGGCGCUGGAGAAUUGAGGGGGGCUGCUCCUAGUACGAGAGGACCGGAGUGGACGCAUCACUGGUGUUCGGGUUGUCAUGCCAAUGGCACUGCCCGGUAGCUAAAUGCGGAAGAGAUAAGUGCUGAAAGCAUCUAAGCACGAAACUUGCCCCGAGAUGAGUUCUCCCUGAGACUUUAAGUCUCCUGAAGGAACGUUGAAGACGACGACGUUGAUAGGUCGGGUGUGUAAGCGCAGCGAUGCGUUGAGCUAACCGAUACUAAUGAACCGUGAGGCUUAACCUU